GUUAAGUCAGAUGUGAAAGCCCGGGGCUCAACCUCGGAAUUGCAUUUUGAAACUGGCAAACUAGAGUACUGUAGAGGGGGUAGGAAUUUCAGGUGUAGCGGUGAAAUGCGUAGAGAUCUGAAGGAAUACCGGUGGCGAAGGCGGCCCCCUGGACCAGAUACUGACACUCAGAUGCGAAAGCGUGGGGAGGCAAACAGGAUUAGAUACCCUCGGUAG
RNAcentral lists this ribosomal RNA (216 nucleotides) under uncultured bacterium. Its description in RNAcentral is "partial 16S ribosomal RNA". It matches the Rfam family "Bacterial small subunit ribosomal RNA", at positions 582 to 793 of the family's 1533-position model. The record is from RNAcentral.